GUCGCGGGGCGUGCUCUGCGCUGGGCGCGCGGAGGCCAAGGCGGGAAGCUCGAGCGGCGGCGCCAUGGCCCGAGCGUGGCAGCACCCGUUCCUCAGCGUCUUCAGACACUUCCGGGUGGACGAGUGGAAGCGCUCCGCCAAGCAGGGGGACGUGGCCGUGGUCACGGACAAGACCCUGAAGGGCGCCGUGUAUCGCAUUCGGGGCUCAGUCUCUGCCGCCAACUACAUCCAGCUCCCUGGGAGCAGCACCCAGUCCCUGGGGCUGACGGGACGAUACCUGUACGUGCUCUUUCGGCCCCUGCCCGGCAAGCACUUCGUCAUCCACUUGGAUGUGUCCACCAAGGACAACCAAGUCAUCCGUGUGUCUUUCUCCAACCUCUUCAAGGAGUUUAAGUCUACGGCCACGUGGCUCCAGUUUCCCUUGGUCCUGGAGACCAGGACACCUCAGAGAGAUCUGGUGGGUUUGGCCCCCUCCAGAGCCCGCUGGACCUGCCUGCAGCUCGACCUGCAGGACAUUCUCCUGGUCUACCUGAACCGGUGCUACGGCCAUCUCAAGAGCAUCAGGCUGUGCGCCAGCCUGCUGGUCAGGAACCUGUACACCAGCGACCUGUGCUUUGAGCCUGCCAUCUCUGGGGCCCAGUGGGCAAAGCUGCCCGUGACUCCUAUGCCUCGGGAAAUGGCAUUCCCUGUGCCCAAGGGAGAGAGCUGGCAUGACCGCUACGUCCACGUCCGGUUUCCAAGUGACAGCUUGAAAGUGUCUUCCAAGCUGAUUGAGAACAGCUGUUCCCCUCCUGAGGCAGUCCUCCUGGGGCCGGGGCCACAGCCUCUCCCUUGCCCGGUGGCCUCCAGCAAACCUGUGCGGUUCAGUGUGUCUCCAGUGGUCCAGACGCCCAGCCCCACAGCCGUGAGUACCCCUUCGCCCUAUGAGAUGGGGUUGGGGCGUGAUGGCCCAGGGUGCUGAUGGGCACUUGUCCCCCAACAGUCUGGCUGGGCCCCCUUGGCACCCAGGCCCUUCCUGGAGGUCAGCCUGUCCCAAGAGCGCUCAGACGCCUCCAACGUGGAUGGCCCCGGUUUCCAUAGCCUUGAGCCCUGGGCCCACGUGGAGGCCUCUGACGUCCACACGGCUGCUGCUGGCACCCAUGUGUUGACUCACGAGUCGGCUGAGGUGCCUGUGGUCCGCACCGGCUCCUGCGAGGGCUUCCUCCCAGACCCGGUCCUGAGGCUCAAGGGCGUCAUCGGCUUUGGGGGCCACAGCACCAGACAGGCCCUGUGGACCCCGGACGGGGCAGCUGUCGUGUACCCCUGCCAUGCGGUCAUUGUCGUCCUGCUUGUGGACACAGGGGAGCAGCGCUUCUUCCUCGGCCACACAGACAAGGUGGGUGCUGCCCGGGCCCGGGGCGGCUCACACCUGCAGCCCCUGCACCCUCCCUCACCCUUCUGCCUCCUAGGUCUCCGCCCUGGCGCUGGAUGGCAGCAGCUCACUAUUGGCCUCGGCCCAGGCAAGGGCCCCCAGUGUGAUGCGGCUCUGGAACUUCCAGACCGGGCAGUGCCUGUGCCUGUUCCGGAGCCCAGUGCACGUUGUCUGCUCUCUCAGGUGAGCACAGGUGUGCCCCAUGCAGGGGGUGGGGGUCAGCCCAGGCGACACUGACAACCUCCUCCCUGUUCACAGCUUCUCUGACAGCGGGGCCCUUCUCUGCGGGGUUGGCAAGGACCACCACGGGAGGACGAUGGUGGUGGCCUGGGGCACUGGCCAGGUGGGCCUCGGUGGCGAGGUGGUCGUUCUGGCAAAGGCGCACACUGACUUUGACGUCCAGGCCUUCCGGGUCACCUUUUUUGAUGAAACCAGGAUGGCGUCGUGUGGGCAGGGCAGCGUGCGGCUCUGGCGGCUGCGUGGCGGGGCGCUGCGUUCCUGCCCUGUGGACUUAGGGGAGCACCACACACUGCAGUUCACCGACCUCGCCUUCAAGCAGGCCCAGGACGGCUGCCUGGAGCCGUUGGCUGCCAUGCUCUUCGUGUGCAGCCGCAGCGGCCACAUCUUGGAGAUUGACUGUCAGCGCAUGGUCGUGCGGCAUGCCCGCCGCCUGCUCCCCACACGGACUCCGGGCGGCCCCCACCCGCAGAAGCAGACCUUCAGCUCAGGUAAGAGGGCGCCCGCCACGUGGCGAGGGUGGCAGGGACACCGAGGCACUGACGCCUCCCCGCCCCCAGGCCCCGGCAUUGCCAUCAGCAGCCUCAGCAUCUCCCCGGCCAUGUGUGCUGUGGGCUCUGAGGACGGCUUCCUGCGGCUCUGGCCCCUGGACUUCUCCUCGGUGCUCCUGGAGGCAGGUGAUGCUGUGGGCACGCUCUCCCAACUCUGGGAGAGCCUCGCCUGGAUGCUGGGGCGGGGAAGGCCCAGUACCCGGGACUUUGCUGUCAGCCGCCCUGUCUCCUGGCUGCACAGGGAGCCACGGGGCCAAGUGGCGUAUCCUGAGCCCUGGGGUGGCUGAUGCCAGGGCGGCCCGCAGGGCAGCCUCACGGAAGGGCCCGGUGGGAUGUGGGUAGUGUGCGAAGCCCCUCAGCCUGGGUCCCGCCUAGCUUAGGAGUGGUGGCCUCGAGGGAGCUGCAUCUUGCAGCCACGUGGAGUCUGGGACUUUGAGC
RNAcentral lists this small RNA (2637 nucleotides) under Pongo abelii (Sumatran orangutan). RNAcentral describes it as "retained intron". The record is from RNAcentral. Lineage: Eukaryota; Metazoa; Chordata; Mammalia; Primates; Hominidae.